AGCGAACGCUGGCGGCAGGCCUAAUACAUGCAAGUCGAACGGCUCUUCGGAGCAGUGGCGGACGGGUGAGUAACGCGUGGGAACGUGCCCAAAGGUACGGAACAACUGAGGGAAACUUCAGCUAAUACCGUAUGUGCCCUUAGGGGAAGAUUAUCGCCUUGGAGCGGCCCGCGUUGGAUUAGCUAGUUGGUGGGGUAAAGGGCCUACCAAGGCUACGAUCCAUAGCUGGUCUGAGAGGANGAUCAGCCACACUGGGACUGAGACACGGCCCAGACUCCUACGGGAGGCAGCAGUAGGGAAUCUUGCGCAAUGGGCGGAAAGCCUGACGCAGCCAUGCCGCGUGAAUGAUGAAGGUCUUAGGAUUGUAAAAUUCUUUCACCGGGGAAGAUAAUGACGGUACCCGGAGAAGAAGCCCCGGCUAACUUCGUGCCAGCAGCCGCCGUAAG
RNAcentral lists this ribosomal RNA (446 nucleotides) under uncultured bacterium. Its description in RNAcentral is "bacterial SSU rRNA". It matches the Rfam family "Bacterial small subunit ribosomal RNA", at positions 29 to 524 of the family's 1533-position model. The record is from RNAcentral.